This 324-nucleotide unclassified non-coding RNA is filed under the name Hevea brasiliensis (rubber tree). Lineage: Eukaryota; Viridiplantae; Streptophyta; Magnoliopsida; Malpighiales; Euphorbiaceae. The record is from RNAcentral.
GGCUUUCUUGGGAUUAUAAACCAAUUCUGUUCGUGGGUCUCAAGGCAUCGUUCUCGAGAUUUGCAUUAGUACCUUAAUAAAGAAGCUUUUUCUCUCAUAUGCAAGGCAAUUAAGUCUUUCUAAACUUGUAUUUUGUAUUGUCUUAUACAAUCAUUGUGUAACACAAACUCCUCUUUAUAAAUAUCAACUUUAUUAAAGCUAUCCUAAAGGUUGACACAGCAAAGGAAUCGGAACUAUGGAUCAAUGGGUCAUUAAAAAAUUAAUUAUACAUACAAAUUAAUUUUAAAACUUAAAUAUAAUGCUUGUUAGUAUAAAUAAAUCUAA